Molecule: ribosomal RNA, 1448 nt
Filed under: uncultured organism
Description: SSU rRNA
Rfam family: Bacterial small subunit ribosomal RNA
Source: RNAcentral
GCGACAGGCUUAACACAUGCAAGUCGAGGGGCAGCACAGGUAGCAAUACCGGGUGGCGACCGGCGCACGGGUGAGUAACGCGUAUGCAACUUGCCUAUCAGAGGGGGAUAACCCGGCGAAAGUCGGACUAAUACCGCAUGAAGCAGGGGCCCCGCAUGGGGAUAUUUGCUAAAGAUUCAUCGCUGAUAGAUAGGCAUGCGUCCCAUUAGGCAGUUGGCGGGGUAACGGCCCACCAAACCGACGAUGGAUAGGGGUUCUGAGAGGAAGGUCCCCCACAUUGGUACUGAGACACGGACCAAACUCCUACGGGAGGCAGCAGUGAGGAAUAUUGGUCAAUGGCCGAGAGGCUGAACCAGCCAAGUCGCGUGAGGGAUGAAGGUUCUAUGGAUCGUAAACCUCUUUUAUAAGGGAAUAAAGUGCGGGACGUGUCCCGUUUUGUAUGUACCUUAUGAAUAAGGAUCGGCUAACUCCGUGCCAGCAGCCGCGGUAAUACGGAGGAUCCGAGCGUUAUCCGGAUUUAUUGGGUUUAAAGGGUGCGUAGGCGGCCUUUUAAGUCAGCGGUGAAAGUCUGUGGCUCAACCAUAGAAUUGCCGUUGAAACUGGGGGGCUUGAGUAUGUUUGAGGCAGGCGGAAUGCGUGGUGUAGCGGUGAAAUGCAUAGAUAUCACGCAGAACCCCGAUUGCGAAGGCAGCCUGCCAAGCCAUUACUGACGCUGAUGCACGAAAGCGUGGGGAUCAAACAGGAUUAGAUACCCUGGUAGUCCACGCAGUAAACGAUGAUCACUAGCUGUUUGCGAUACACUGUAAGCGGCACAGCGAAAGCGUUAAGUGAUCCACCUGGGGAGUACGCCGGCAACGGUGAAACUCAAAGGAAUUGACGGGGGCCCGCACAAGCGGAGGAACAUGUGGUUUAAUUCGAUGAUACGCGAGGAACCUUACCCGGGUUUGAACGCAUUCGGACCGAGGUGGAAACACCUUUUCUAGCAAUAGCCGUUUGCGAGGUGCUGCAUGGUUGUCGUCAGCUCGUGCCGUGAGGUGUCGGCUUAAGUGCCAUAACGAGCGCAACCCUUGCCACUAGUUACUAACAGGUAAAGCUGAGGACUCUGGUGGGACUGCCAGCGUAAGCUGCGAGGAAGGCGGGGAUGACGUCAAAUCAGCACGGCCCUUACAUCCGGGGCGACACACGUGUUACAAUGGCGUGGACAAAGGGAAGCCACCUGGCGACAGGGAGCGAAUCCCCAAACCACGUCUCAGUUCGGAUCGGAGUCUGCAACCCGACUCCGUGAAGCUGGAUUCGCUAGUAAUCGCGCAUCAGCCAUGGCGCGGUGAAUACGUUCCCGGGCCUUGUACACACCGCCCGUCAAGCCAUGGGAGCCGGGGGUACCUGAAGUCCGUAACCGCGAGGAUCGGCCUAGGGUAAAACUGGUGACUGGGGCUAAGUCAUAACAA